GUGGGGAAUAUUGGGCAAUGGGGGAAACCCUGACCCAGCAACGCCGCGUGAAGGAAGAAGGUUUUCGGAUCGUAAACUUCUAUCCUUGGUGAAGAUAAUGACGGUAGCCAAGAAGGAAGCCCCGGCUAACUACGUGCCAGCAGCCGCGGUAAUACGUAGGGGGCAAGCGUUGUCCGGAAUGAUUGGGCGUAAAGGGCGCGUAGGCGGCCUGGUAAGUCUGGAGUGAAAGUCCUGCUUUUAAGGUGGGAAUUGCUUUGGAUACUGUCGGGCGUGAGUGCAGGAGAGGUAAGCGGAAUUCCCGGUGUAGCGGUGAAAUGCAUAGAGAUCGGGAGGAACACCAGUGGCGAAGGCGACUUACUGGACUGUAACUGACGCUGAGGCGCGAAAGUGUGGGGAGCAAACAGGAUUAGAUACCCGGGUAGUCC
RNAcentral lists this ribosomal RNA (425 nucleotides) under uncultured bacterium. RNAcentral's name for it is "partial 16S ribosomal RNA". It matches the Rfam family "Bacterial small subunit ribosomal RNA", at positions 354 to 796 of the family's 1533-position model. The record is from RNAcentral.